RNAcentral lists this ribosomal RNA (738 nucleotides) under Theba impugnata. RNAcentral describes it as "partial 16S ribosomal RNA". Lineage: Eukaryota; Metazoa; Mollusca; Gastropoda; Stylommatophora; Helicidae. The record is from RNAcentral.
UUUCUUUUAGAGAAGAAGAAUUACGUGGUAUAGUAAUAUAAUAAUAUUUUUUAGGAGUGAUAGGCUUUCCAAGUAUGAUGAUAUCUUGAUAUGCAAAAAAAAUAUUAAGUAUUAAGAUAGAUUAUGAAAGUUAAGCUUCAUAAUUAAAAUUAAAUUUUUUUAAUAAUUUUAUUAUAGUUUAAUAGCUAAUAAGAAGUUUAAAUAAAAAUUAUUUUAUAAGAAUUAUUUAAAUAAUUGCAUUAUAUUGUUUGAUUUUAAUAUAAAUUAUGUUAGUAUUAGUAAUUAUCAUAAAUAAAUUAUAGGAACUCGGCAAAAUAUUUUUCACCUGUUUAUCAAAAACAUAACUAUAUGAUCUAAUAUAUAGCUAUUCCUGCUCAAUGAUAUAUUAAAUAGCCGCAGUACCCUGACUGUGCAAAGGUAGCAUAAUCAAUUGGCUUUUAAUUGGAGUCUUGUAUGAAUGGAAACAUGAAGAAUGACUGUCUUUAAUUUUUUUUUAUUAACUUAGUUUGUAAGUGAAAAUACUUACAUAUAUAUAUAGGACGAGAAGACCCUAGAAACUUAGCAAAUAUUUUGUUGGGGCGACAGAAUUACAAUAAACUAAUUUUACUAUACUGGACGUUAAAACAGCUAGAUAAAGUUACUCUAGGGAUAACAGCAUAAUUUUUAUAGUUUGUGACCUCGAUGUUGGACUAGGGAAUUUAUUGUUUAGAAGACAGUAAAGUAUGCUCUGUUCGAGCU